AUGAAGAGCAGGAGGCAGAGCGGCCGCGGAGGAGCCAUGGCGGUGGACGGGAGCCACACCCACACCACAAGCAGCGGCUGCAAGAUGGAGCGCAAGGAGGUGGAGAAGAACCGGCGGCUGCACAUGAAGGGACUCUGCCUCAAGCUCUCCUCCCUCGUCCCCUCCUCCUCCUCCUCCGACCACCACCUCCGCCAUUAUUCUUCCUCGCCGCCGUCCAGCAACAAGGACGCGGCGACGCAGCUGGACCAGCUGGACAGCGCCGCGGCCUACAUCAAGCAGCUCCGGGGCCGCAUCCACGACCUGAAACGCCGCAAGCAGGCCGCCCUCUCUCUCUCCGGCGGCACCGGCGGCUGCUCAUCCUCCGUCUCCGCCGGCGACUACAAGGCACACACUACGACGUCGCUGCCGGUGAUCGAGGUUAGGCAUCAGGACGGGACGCUGGACGUGGCGCUGGCGAGCGAGGCCGGGCGUCCCUUCCGGCUGCACGAGGUGAUGGCGAUGCUGGAGCAAGAGGGCGCGGAGGUGGUCAGCGCCAGCUUCUCCGUGGUGGGGGACAAGAUCUUCUACACGCUCCACUCCCAGGCGCUCUGCCCACGCAUCGGUCGGGUCGCCCAGAGGCUGCGCGGCCUCGCCGCCGCAGCCGCAGCCACCGUCUCGACGCUGCUGACAUGA
RNAcentral lists this ribosomal RNA (672 nucleotides) under Triticum aestivum (bread wheat). RNAcentral describes it as "partial small subunit ribosomal RNA". Lineage: Eukaryota; Viridiplantae; Streptophyta; Magnoliopsida; Poales; Poaceae. The record is from RNAcentral.